GAAAAAUGCAGGAAAUCCGGGGACCGUCUAAAGCCGCAAUGAGAAGAACAGUGUUUUGAACUCCGAUUCGUAGUAAGAAUCCUUAACAAUUUUUAUCGUAAUGACAAAUUAAAGUUUCAAUAAUUAAUAAUGGUAUGUUUUGUAAAAAUUAAAAAAUCUUAAAAUUAUUUGCAGGUCACUAGUAGAGUCGAUAACUGGUCAGUACGAAAUUGUUUAUUUUAUGAGAUUGUAGUUGUAAUUGGUGAUUGAUGAAAUAUUGUGAACAUACCUGAAGGGUGUACGGACCCAGUGCAUAAAGAAAAUCCUACCGUUGACAACUUCUCAGUCGAGCAGGGCUGAGAAGUCUCAUACCGAAUGGGGUAUCGAGGUGAUGGUAUAUUUGGCGCCCAUUACCGAACGAGAUAUGAGGAUGACCGAUUGAUUGAUAAUUUAGAUAUUAAUUUCACGCGUAGGAGGACGUCUCUAUGGACCCCUAGAGAUACUAGUAAGCAGGUAAGAAUGUAAGUUUAUUGUUAUUGUUUAUUUGAAUCUGUAAUAAAAAUAUUAUUCGAAUUAUUGUCUUUAUAGGUCGAUUUUCAAAACUCAUAAGGGUAAGUAUGAAAUAAUGGUUUUUAAGUUAAACGAAUUGAUUUAAAAAGAAAUAAUGACUUCAUUGGUUGUUUGACAAUUUUUAUCGACCUUUAAUUAUCCGUAUCGGUGUUAAAUGUGAUAUUCUCAUUAGGGUAGGUGUAGCACAUUCUCUUUAUUUAACAAUUUCAUGUUAGAAAGAUCAAGAUGCAGAUCUUGAACUGCAAACGAGUUGCGAAUAAAAGUUGUGUCCCGCAUCCAAUCAGAGUUACCCAGUAGAGGUUAACUCCAUAGCAUCUUUUGUUACAUUUUAUAUAUUUAUUUAUUUCAUUGUUGAAACUCAUGCGUGAUAAAGUUGGCAAGAUCUUCAAUUGUUAAACAUUAAGAAUGUAGUUGUUACCAAAUGCAUCAUUACUCAAUGAUUGAGCAAACAAAAGUUCAUUUUUAACCUCGAAAAGGUCCUUACCAUUUGGAUAAUUAAGGGGGGAUGAAUUUUGUGAGAAGUUGUUCAAUUCAUACGAAUGUCUAAAUUCUAGAAUUCAUUGAAUUUAUUUGAAUUACUCAUUUCUAACGAGCAAAUCAAUUUGUCUUUUUUUUUGCCAAAGACAUGCACUGUCGGCCAGGACUCUAAAAAGCUUUUUUGUUAUUUUUGAAGAUUUAGUCUUAAAGUCCUGUGUCUGUAGGAGCGAGAAAUUUAUUUAAUCCCUAUCUAUUUUUUGAUAACUCUAUAUAGUAAACUAUAAGAUCUAAAAUGCAUCAAAAUAUAAAAUACAACAACUAUGAGUGGAUUAAAGGUUUUUUAUGAAGUUUUUU
RNAcentral lists this long non-coding RNA (1380 nucleotides) under Carica papaya (papaya). RNAcentral describes it as "long non-coding RNA (CPAP_LNC014055)". The record is from RNAcentral. Lineage: Eukaryota; Viridiplantae; Streptophyta; Magnoliopsida; Brassicales; Caricaceae.